CCAUCCAUCCAUCCAUCCAUUCUUCCAUGGAUCUAUGCAUCUGUCCACCCAUCCCCUCAUUCUUUCAAUAUUUAUUGUGUAGCUAUUAUAUGUCAGACAUUCUUCUUUACUCUGCAUAUAUGAAAGAGAACAAGGCAUGAAAUUCCUGUUCUCAUGGAGCUUCUGUUCUACAAGAGGAAGGGAGAUCAUAAAAAUAGUUAACACACAAUACGAUAACUUCAGAGAGUGGUAUGUGCUCUGAAAGCCGUCCCAUUGGGCAACAGUACAGGGAGUGACCAGUGACAGGUGGGCAGAGUUGAGGAGGGCUUCUUUAGCGAAGGUGAUCAGGGAAAGCCUUGCAAAGGAGAUGAUAGUGAGACUGAAGUGAAAAGGAGACAGUCACAUGAAGGCCUGGGCAAGGGAGAACAUUCCAGGCAGAGGGAGCCACAGUGAGCUGAUGUCACUGAGGAGCCUCCAGCUAAGCAGCAGCUUGGAGACAGAGGGCCAAGCAGAGGCGAAUCAGACAAAAGCACACUCAAAUCUUGGCUCAGCCCUUUAGUAUCUGUGGGACAUGGAGAGAGGUGCUAACCUUCCAAGCUUUUACUUCUCUAUAUGUGAAAUGGAGACACUAAAACCUCACUCAUAGGGUGGGUGAAAAGAUGAAGUCGUAUACAGAGCAUGGUCCUUGGCAUGAGGUAGCUUAUCAAGCCCAGAUACUUCCAAAUCCUUCUGCCAAGUGAAAGUCAUCGUGCUUCUCACAUCAGCAUCCUAAGACAGGCAGGAAGAUUGAUCACCUUGCUUCUGGUAACCAGUUUCAGACUGACAUGUCUGCAUGAUUCCACCUUCAUUCCAUAUUUUAAAAAUGCACCAUGUACUCCCUUUAUUAAGCAUGUCACCCAGCUCUAGUUACUGUGAAACUAGAAGGUCACAGCUCAGCUCUGUGCUCAGAAAUAUGGCACCUGUCAGGUGCAUGAUUUAGGAACUUGGCCUUCCUCAGUGGGACCUCAGUGUAGUAAAAUCAAGUCAACGAUUCAAUCCAUGGCUGCUGAUAAAGACUGGGAGAAAUAUGAAGCUGCUGUCUUAGCAAUACACUUUUCAUUAGUGAACUUUUUUAGUAAGAUGACAUUGAAAUCCACCCCCCCAGCCUGGUUUCCAAAUAGCUCAGCACUGUAACCUGAAUAAGACGUGGUGACUCUGCUGGACAAAGACCAAAAGCCUUGCGAGGGUGUGGGACAGACAACAGGAUACAUCAGUGCAGUUGGCUCAGUUUUGCAAGGUUAGACUUCUCUCAUUUGAUUUCACUUACCUCUGGCUAUUUUCCUUUUCUUUGCCAGAGGAACACUGGCAAAUGUUUAACAUCUGAUUCUCUGGAGGUGGGGAAAGCUUGAAUUAAUAGUGUUUGUCUAAUUCCAUGAUAGAAGUAUUUCCAAUGUGGCCAGUUUCGAGUUACUCCCACGAUGUCACUGAAUGCACAGCUACAAAGAGAUGGUAACAACUGGCCCCUGCAAACUGCUAUGAAUUGGCUCUAGGGCAACACUGCUACACCAUCUCCCUACGAAUAACAGGGAUCCCCUUUGUGGGGUUGGACACUGUACAUAUGUAGCUGGCACUACAUGCAUGAUAUUUCAUAUAAUCUUAACUAUCAUUGUUUGAGGCUGGGAUUACUAUUGCCAUUUCAGGGAUGAGAAUAGCAAGGCUCAGAGAGAUUGUGUAGCCAGCAUCGGUUCACAUAAUUAGCAGGCAGCGAAGUUGGGAUUUGAAUACUGUGGGCACCUUUCAUGUGGCACACUCCUCCCCACUCUGAGUCCUCCUCUUUCUUCCCUGGGAAUGAGUAGCUUGCUUCCUAACAAGCUCCAGGGCUCCAGUGUCCCCUGGAUCCUCCCACAGUGCUCUUUUGCACAUGGACCCCUCCACUCCCAGUUCAGAAUGAAGUCCAGUUUACUUAGCUUGGCUCCAGGGUGCAGCCUGUACUUCCUCAUCCAAUCUCUCUACUCUAGCAAAAUGGGUUUCCCCACGGUCCCUAGAUGUGUGUGAGAUGGUUGACCUUCUUGCAUUAUCAGCUUCUCCUUAUUCCACUUAGAUGCAACGAUCUCAUUCAAACUCUGUCUUGUCCUGCUAGUCCUGCUAGCCCUGCUAAACCACUUGAGCCCCUGGAGUCUCUUCCUCCCUGGAGCUUCUACAGCAUUCCUAUCUGGACCAUUCGCCAGGUGGUUAACACUGGAAACAAAAACUAUGUUGUUUGCUGGUUUGGAUUUCUUACAGCUCCCAGGAGACCACAAGCUACUUGGAGGUAGGACCAAGUGGUGUACAUAACGACCAGACAGCCACAAAGAGUCCCUUGCUCAGACAGGUGUUCAGCAACUCUUCCCAGAGCAAAACAUGCCUGUCUUGCCCACUGCGGAGUAACUGCAAGGCAGCGCACUGCUCCUCUGGGGUCUCAGACCCAAUGGCAGCCUUACAAGAAUAAACUCAAGCUGUUUUAAAAAAUAUUUUUAAACAGCAAACCUCUCCUCUCUAAAUGACAUUUAAUUGCUUCAAAGAUCAAGAGAAGGCAACUUCUUUGUGGCUGGGCGUGCAAACAACCUGCGUUCUUCAGGGCUCUGGGUAUGGGUUACAAGAUUCAUCGUGACUCAAUUCUCCAAUCCACUGAGUUUUGGAGGACACAGGCAGUGUGUCACUGCAGAUGGACUGCCAACCCCCAAUUAAACUGUUCUGGAUGGCUACUGGUGGUGACCUUCAGGUGACAUUGGUCAAGCCUCAAAGGAGUGUGGCCACCCAACCCUAGCAGAGUUUGAGUGUGCCAGGUGCUCAUUACUGAACCCACUUCUCAGUCUACAUCAAACAACCAUGCUGGCCAGAAAUGGUGUGCUGAGUUCUGACGAUACAGAAACACCACACUACUGAUGAUACAGGUGCAUACAUGAAACCUCCUGGUGGCAGGAAGACUCGUUCCUGAGGGCCUGAUGGCUCCCACACCGAGGAAUGCUCUGCCAGAGGCCAGUCCAUUUCAGGCACAGUUAUAACCCACUCCAUAAAGGUUGUGCCAGGGAGAAAAUUAUGACAGGACCUUGCUUGAAAGAAGAGGCAGUCACAAGGCCCCAUGGGGCUUACCUUCCAGGAUGGACUGGCCCUGGGUUUGGGAUUGCAUCAAUUUCAUUUCUGGCUCUCAUGAGUCGGAUUCCCUCUUUUCUCAGAGUAUGGAAGCCAGUGGAGCGUGGCAAAGGUGUCUGGCACCCUGUCUUUGCUGCUUCCUGUGAAAACGAGAUGGUCUGCCUGAAAUGAUACAUUGGCUGUUUCAUUUCUGGGCUCCCCUUGUGUCUUUUUUUUUUAAAGACAGAGACGGGGUCUCACUAUGUUGCCCAGGCUGUCCUCGAACUCCUACGCUCAAGGAAUCUUCCUGCCUCAGCCUCCCAAAGAGCAGGAUUAUGAACGUGAGCCAUUACGCCCAACUUCCCCUAAUCUCUUGUGCUUGGCAUAAUGCUGGUAUGCAGUAGGUGCUCAAUAAAUGCUGACUUGGGUGUAAUAUUGAUGAACUCCAAAAAGCUUACUGGAGAGUGUGUGCAUGUGUGAGUGCACAUGUGUGAAUGUGUGUGCAUGUGUGUGCAUGAGUGCAUGUAUGAGUACUUGCAUGUGGGUGCAGAUGUGGGAGUGGUGUGUGAAUGUGUGGACAUGUAUGUGCAUGAUGUACACAUGUGUACAUGCACAAGUGUGUGAACGUGUGUGUGUGUGUGUACGUAUGUACUGGAUCAAGGUCAGGCAGAGCUGGCACUCAGAUGACCACCAGCACCCCGGUCCCAAAUUCGGCAGCAGCAACCAUUUGGUGCCUACCCUGUUCCCUUCUCAUUUAGUGCCAUCUUCACCAACCCGCCAGGAAGACAAGCUUGAUUCCAUCUUGAAUAUGAGGAAAAUGGAGGCUCGCUGAUGUGCAGUAGCCCUUGCAAGGCCUCACAGUGUGUGCAGGGAGAUGUAGAUUCCUACAGUGGAGUCUGACCCCACUGUCCCCUAUGCUGCAGUGCCUUCUGGGCAGAUGCCAGGCAUCAGACCAGGGAAAUUCUGCCCCACAGUGAGUGGGGCCAACUGACGCUGAUGUGAGUGUAUUCCAUAGUGGCUGUGUGUGAUGGAGAGGGAGUGGGAUUGGUACUCAGGGGCUUAAGGAAUGGCAUCUGGUAUAAUGGUAUCUGAGGACAUGGCACAGAACAUGGUAUGCCACAGCCUCCUCACCUUAUAAUGGAAGUAACCGUGCAUACCUCCUAGCGUCACCGUGGGGGUUUAAAUUCUUACAUGUGAGGUGUGUAUAACUGCACGUGGUAUGCAGGAAGCGCUCGGUAGCUACGCUCCUAGUACAUCCUCAUAAGCGAACACUUACUAAUCUAGUUGUUGUGCUGGAAAAUGUGGCGCUGGAAAAGACCUGGAGCUUGACCAUGACACAGACAUUCAGGCUACGGAUCCUGUGUCCACCGUUUACUGAGAGGGCCGUGGGUGAGUGACGUGGAGUGUGGCGUAACCUCCCCAUGUCGCCCUCUCCUAGUGCAGAAAUUGGAGACAGUGGGGGAUCCCUCACAGGGUUGCUGGGAUGACUGAAUGAGGUAAUAGACUUCACAGAUCCCACAUAGGGUCUGGUACGCAGUGGUCCCUCAACAGUGGACAGACAUUAUUAGGAUCUGGUCAUAUUCUGAGAACAAAGCUUGACAAGUUCUGGAAUCAAAUGUCAUUGUCAAAUGUGCCUGCUCAAUGCAAUUCUACUUGGCUACUGGACUCUCUGCAAUAAUUUGUCUGAAAGAGAGGCAGAAGCCCCCAAGAGAUGAAUGGGCUGGUUUUAAGGAGAGAAUGAUUUUAAGAGGCAUUGAGGGUGCCCUGGAAGCCAUCCCCCUACAGUGCAUAUCAGGCCAAAUGCACCUGUCAGCACCUGCAUUCCUUUGCCAGAGAACUUGCACCAGCAGCCAAAGGCCUUUGCUCAUCUAUGCAGCAGGCUGAAUGCGAUGAGAAUCAGCACCUCUCUCAGGAGCAACCCUCACCCAAUGACUGGGGUACUUAUACCUCAGCUCCCUUGCUCCCCAUGAGACAAGAAGAAUACAGGGUGGUCAUAGAAGAAUAGAAAAUUCCAGGCAGUAGUUUCACAUGAUUAGCAAAAGGAAAAUGUUGAAAUAGCUGCAGAAGCUAGGGGCUGAUAAGACCCUGAAAAAACAAGAGUGUGGGCCAAGCUGGCUAAGACCAACUGGACCCAUCGUGGUGGUGGAUUUCACUUAGGUUUUCCCUAGGACCUCAAUAUAUGCUCGUUAACAUACUAUAUCACACACCCACCGGCACCUCGAUGGUUCCAGGAACACCCAUAUUUGGUGCAAAAAUGGGUGACACCUCAGUUAUGAGAAAUCUCCACCUUUUUCCAGGAAUCUUCAUGAACAUUCCACUGCUUGGUUAAAGAAAUCCAUAGAGGUAGCAACCCCAAUCCCCCUUGAGAGCGAUUCCUUCACUCUUGAAAACGCUCACACUCACCUUUCUUGAGUGUAUACUUUUUGCUUUGCAAUAAACCAUACUUUCACUAUUUUCUGACUCAUUCUUGAAUUUCUUCUCACAGUCAAGAGCCUGGACAAUGACUGGGGUCAAGGACUCACUGGCGUUUGGGGACCUCCCCCAGCCUACGAUAUUACUUGGAUGGAAUAAGCCCAGGAGUGUGUUCCUCUGGGAUUCAGCUCCUGUACGCAUAGUGGUGGCUGGAUGGACAAUGCAGAGUGUGUGGGCUGUGUUCCUCUCCUGUCCCACUUCCUGCUCUCCCGCUGGUAUUUUAUGGGAUUUUCUGCCAACUAAACUAUUUUCACCCUAACCCUUGUCUCAGCAUCUGCUUCGGGGGCAAUCCAAAGUAAGACUGUCCAAAGUAAGACAGUCACAGUCAUGUUAAUAGAAUUCCCACCAGACAGCGGUUGAUUGUUCCAGAGGCCAAUGCCCAGAGCAGCAGGAAGUGACUUCAUCAAGCCAGAGUGGUGAAUUAGUUCCAGUUGUUUUUCCUGAGCCUCUCAACAACAGGAGAGGCAAGCAGAGCACAGUAGGAACUGAAUGGGGUUUGCGUGAAAGAAAAAUCCAGGGAAAGGUGUCCUGCAGAACGUGCACGGACCUGACCCGAGUCUAAGCUUGUAAGGGGCUUGGUGCAUGGGAGUUGGAGAACCAUCUCGGUGUUCAUAUUCUGGCAUCGAAAUGAGAACAUGAGUGCAUUUUAUUGUAUCUUUGAGGGGUCCUAGCACUGUGAUAAUGGUGCCUAAUGGAUGACUCAGCCCUGAUCCUUAGUAAACAGCACAGUGCCCAACACAUGAGCAGACAUUCAGGAUGAGGCUGCCUGGAUGAGCCACAAAGACAAUCACAAGUAGGAAGAGGGACUUGAAUUUUAUUAUACACCAAGAAUGCAUGUUCUUCCUCCAAGAGCAGAAAGUUGACCUUUAGAUUAACAUGGAAGAUGGAAAUAAUGAUCAGAAGGCUGGAAAGACACAGAUGGGAAAGAAGUGACAGAGGACAAGUUUAAAGGACUGCACAUAUGCAAGCUUGCAUGCUUGACUAGUUGCAUGUUUGACCUGAAUACUAGACUAAGUUCACGAGCCAUUAACCCUAAAGUUUCACAGAGAACUAAUAUGGAACUUGAAAAGCUGGGAUGUAGUCAUCUGGCCCUUAGCUUAAAAAAAUUAUAGGGUCUCACUAAUUUCUAUUUGUGAUGAUAAAAGGGUAGGGGAGAGACCAUCAGAAAUAUAACUUGCAAACAUUUUUGAGUCUAUGUUUACAUAAAAGAUACAGCUUAUUGGAAGGCUCUUCCCAAUAGUCUAAUGGGUAGCAACUGUGACUGAUAUAAAUAAUGCAUUUAAGGAGCUUGGCAAAUAGCCUGGCAUAUGUAUAACAAGGAGUCAGUAUUUGUUAGCAAGGAUAAUGAUGAUGGAUUUUGCCCUGUAUCAUAUGAAAUUCUUACUAAGAAAUUGGAGAAUUUGGUUUAAACCCCUGUGACUCUUUCUGCUCUUAUCACAGUCUGCCAUAUAAUGUAGUUAUGUAUAUAUGUAUUUUAUUUUCCUCGAGUGGUGUGGAAGAAGCUUUUUUUUUUCAGUUAUGUAUGCCUGGCACUCACACACUUGCUCAUUCUUGUUAUGCUCCAACAACAGACAUGAGGCAAAUGAUGUCAAUCCUAUCAUGUCCACAUUUGGAAGGGAAAGCGGCAUUAGAUAUCUGGUUUUCUUCUAUGAUUAGGAUUUAUCUCAUGGCGGAAAGAUACAACAAUUCAUUUUAAUAAAUAUUUGUUGUGUCUGUUGCAUGCUGGAGACUCCACUAGGCACAAAAAUACAUCAGUAAGUGAGAGGGCUAGUAUUCCCUCUGGGUGUCCCCUUUCUUUGUAGGUACUGUACAUCUACAACAUAUCUGACAAUUUGCUUUCUACCACUUCUAAAACCAUUUCCUUCACUGUCAUACAUCCAAGGCUGUACCUGUGGCCAAUUAUGGAUGCUUUUAUGUUUUGACAUGAUUUAAUUUCCAGGUAACGGUCAUUUCAGUAAAUGGUGCUAGAUCAAUUGGAUAUCCAUCUGCAGAAAACAAUGAAUCCUGACCCCUACCUCACACCAUACACAAAAUGUGAAAUGUAAACAGUAAAGUUCUUAGAAGAAAACGUAUGAGAACAUUUUCAUUCAGCCUCCACAU
This 7641-nucleotide long non-coding RNA is filed under the name Homo sapiens (human). Its description in RNAcentral is "HSALNT0387363". Lineage: Eukaryota; Metazoa; Chordata; Mammalia; Primates; Hominidae. The record is from RNAcentral.